RNAcentral lists this ribosomal RNA (505 nucleotides) under uncultured bacterium. RNAcentral describes it as "partial 16S ribosomal RNA". It matches the Rfam family "Bacterial small subunit ribosomal RNA", at positions 28 to 507 of the family's 1533-position model. The record is from RNAcentral.
GACGAACGCUGGCGGCGUGCCUAAUACAUGCAAGUAGAACGCACAGUUUAUACCGUAGCUUGCUACACCAUAGACUGUGAGUUGCGAACGGGUGAGUAACGCGUAGGUAACCUGCCUGGUAGCGGGGGAUAACUAUUGGAAACGAUAGCUAAUACCGCAUAAUAUUAAUUAUUGCAUGAUAAUUAAUUGAAAGGUGCAAUUGCACCACUACCAGGUGGACCUGCGUUGUAUUAGCUAGUAGGUGAGGUAACGGCUCACCUAGGCGACGAUACAUAGCCGACCUGAGAGGGUGAUCGGCCACACUGGGACUGAGACACGGCCCAGACUCCUACGGGAGGCAGCAGUAGGGAAUCUUCGGCAAUAGACGAAAGUCUGACCGAGCAACGCCGCGUGAGUGAAGAAGGUUUUCGGAUCGUAAAGCUCUGUUGUAAGAGAAGAACGGGUGUGAGAGUGGAAAGUUCACACUGUGACGGUAUCUUACCAGAAAGGGACGGCUAACUACGUG